Non-coding RNA from Danionella cerebrum, 70 nucleotides. Lineage: Eukaryota; Metazoa; Chordata; Actinopteri; Cypriniformes; Danionidae. The record is from the annotation of a GenBank genome assembly.
UUUCCUAUGGCUCAGUCUGUAGAGCACUGCACUAGCAACACACAGGUUGCAGGUUCAAACCCCAGGAAAA